UGCCAGCCGCCGCGGUAACACGGGGGGCGCAAGCGUUAUUCGGAAUUAUUGGGCGUAAAGGGCGCGUAGGCGGUCUUGUCGGUCAGAUGUGAAAGCCCAGGGCUCAACCCUGGACGUGCAUUUGAAACAGCAAGACUUGAAUACUGGAGAGGAAAGCGGAAUUCCUGGUGUAGAGGUGAAAUUCGUAGAUAUCAGGAGGAACACCGAUGGCGAAGGCGACUUCCUGGGCCAAUACUGACGCUGAGGCGCGAAAGCGUGGGUAGCAAACAGGAUUAGAUA
Molecule: ribosomal RNA, 279 nt
Filed under: uncultured bacterium
Lineage: Bacteria
Description: partial 16S ribosomal RNA
Rfam family: Bacterial small subunit ribosomal RNA
Source: RNAcentral